This 9533-nucleotide long non-coding RNA is filed under the name Portunus trituberculatus (swimming crab). RNAcentral describes it as "uncharacterized LOC123501575, transcript variant X2". Lineage: Eukaryota; Metazoa; Arthropoda; Malacostraca; Decapoda; Portunidae. The record is from RNAcentral.
GGAACUUGGUGUUUUUGGUAAUGUGGUGGUGGCGGUAAGAUCAGUGGUAGCGGUGGUGGCGGUGGCUGCAAUGUGGCUGUGGUGGCGGCGCUGACGUAACCCAGUCGGGGCGAUGGAGGGAGGCGGUGGUCGGUGGCCGCGGACGAGCGACCGACUGACUGCAUGAGCUCCGUCGGCACCACCGCCGCUGCUGCCGCCGCCACCACCGCCGCUCUCCUCCGAUGCCGCCUCCCUACCCCUGCCCUCGUGCUCCUCCUCCACCGUUUGUACGUUUAUGAAUCACGGGUAUAUGGAGUAAGCCGGUGACAUGCCAUGAUCAUAUAUAUUCGUACACAGACACUAUUCCCACCGAACACCUCCGACUGGUUCUGACUGGUGGCGGCACUCGCUGGCUGGUGUGCGGCCUCUCUCAUGGUGCCUCCCGAUUCUCGACACAGCGCCUCAGACGAAGGUGCAGCCAGCAAGGGAGAGGCAGGGGACGCCUGAUCCCCCACACCCACCCAGCCGGCGGUGGCGGGGAGAGCGUGAGGAACAAGAGAAGGCAAAGGAGAGACAUGAAAAGUGAGAGGAUGUGGGGUGUGAGGGAGGGAGGGAGGACGGCCAGACGGGCGCCAGACUCGGCCGGUACAGCCUGUGGACUCCAUUUUAAAAGGUGAAUAAUUGUGCAGGUUUUUGGGCGUGUGAGGUGAGCUGCGGCAGGUGGUGGCGCCCCCCUGGUGGCCGCGGCCACACCACCGCCACCUUGUAGGUCACAGUGACACCACAGGCCCCCUCCCCCUUGGCCGUCUACACUCCCGCCUUCCUCGCCCCACCCCCCUGCCGGGCGUGGGUGAAGAGUGUGGUCGAGGUGCGACAGACGGACGCAUGGCGGCCAGGCACACCCCGCCACACCCCACUAGCACCACAGCCACAGCUUGACCACGGGGGGCGGAGCGCCCAGGCACCCCCCUCCCGCCAGCCACGCGGCCGACCCACCAUUGGCUCACACUGUUUUAAUUACAGAACCAGUUUGUGUGGCGGUCAUGUGAGGCGGUGGCGGGUGGCGGGGCGGGGCCAAGCCGGCCCUGUCGGAUCUUGGGGCCACCCCGGCAAGGGUUGGGGCGGAGCUUCAACUGUGAAAGACCGUCUGGCUCCGCCUCCUUUUCUGGCUCCGCCCCGGGUCCGCCCCUCGUGGAGGAGCGCGAGCAGACGCAGCGCCGCGUCCCCCGCCCGCCUCAGUUCCGCCGCGUCUGUCUGGUGAGCAGCAUGUUGCGCUUGACCUCCCGCGCCCUCACGCCCACACUUAGUGCUCCUCCCACGCCCACGCACGCCCACACCUACUCCAGCAAUAGUGUGUGAUCGCUGGCUCGAGUUUUUACCGGCCAAGUUUUGUGUAGUUAAGAGUGAGAGGCUACCAGUGACCCAGCAGAGUGGAUAGUGCUGAGUGGGCCAACAGGCCGCCGCCCGCCGGCGUGCAAGGCAACACCCGCCCUUCUCCGCCGCCUCCGUCGCUUAUACGUGUCGGUAGUGUCACCCUGAGUGCGCCCUCUUCUUGGUCUCCGUCGGUCGGUCGGAGUCGGUCCGACGUGACCGCUCAAGGCGCCGCUGGCGUCGGACCAUCGCGGCGCGGAGGCGCGGGCCCUAGACCGUGGAGAACACCGAACGGCCGUCAGCACCGCCGCCGAUGCAGGCUGAGCGGCGGGCCGUCGCUCAACUUGUGGCCGCGGUCAGCGCGACGGCCGUCAGCGGUGGCGAGGGUCUGUUGCAAGCCGUAGCGACGGGUCGGAGCGCGGCGGACGUCUGGUGGGGCGGCGGGUCGGAGCGAGAGCGAGAACAGAGUGGCGGUACCGCGGCCCGCGUUGCUCAGCCACGCAGGUUGGUGCUCGGCCGACCACCGCUGCACUCCGCGCUCGUCAUCCCGCCCGCCGCGGCACCAGCGCCAACCCGCGACACCCGCCCGCCGUCACCGCCGCCGCCGCCGCCGCUGCUGGGCUGACGACAUUCGGACCCUCCGGCAGACAUGGAGGGAUACCCCGCCCCCCUGUAGUGCUAGUGUAGUGAUGUGCCAGUGUUCGGUGAUAGUGUAACCCAGUGGUUGUGCCGCGCCGUUGGGACUCCACCGCUCAGGAUGUUCAAAAAACGAAGCCGGAACCACGCUACCCCUCCAUCCUGCCUGCCUGCCUUCCUCUGCCAGUGAAGAGAACCCUACACGAAGAGAGAGAGAGAGAGAGAGAGAGAGAGAGAGAGAGAGAGAUGGAACGUGCUACAAAAUCCAACUUUGAAGAUUAUGAGUACUCUGUGUGUGUGUGUGUGUGUGUGUGUGUGUGUGUGUGUGUGUGUGUGUGUGUGUGUGUGUGUACGAGGGUUCCAUCUACAUCAACAACAACAACAACAACAAAUGAUGAUGAUCGCUUUAAUGGGUGUGAAGGGCAGGACCGGGCGACCCAGGCAGUGCUGUGGAUGGCAAAGGUGCGUUUGUGUCUACCUGUGCGUGUUACCUGCUUGAGGGUAUCGAACGGGCAGCCUCGAGGACUCCAGACAAGACAAGAACUAGCUCUCCAGGAAGGGAUCUCAGACACGCCCUUAUUAAACUCAGCAGGACACGGGGCUGCCUUCCUCACCACUACUGUGUUAACAAGAUAAGCCUGAUUUGUUUACUAUUACUGCUAGAGAGAGAGAGAGAGAGAGAGAGAGAGAGAGAGAGUUGUAAUUGAAGGAAAAACGUAUUGUGAAGGAGAAAAAAGAUAGAAGGAAUUAUGAACGAAGAGGCCAGGAGACAGAUAGAGAAUUACAUAAGAGGAAAGACGAAAGAUAAGAGAAUAAAUGGAGAGGAAAAGGAAGGAUGUUAAGAUAGAUGUAGAAUGAAAGACAAAAAGAAGUGAUAAAAAAGAUAGGCAGACGAGAGAGAGUUAGAUAGAGAGAGAAUAGGAAGAAACAAAAAAAAGGUCAUGGUAAAAAAUGAUAGGCAUAAUAAUUAUAAUGAGAACGUCACUUGAGGUGCAGACAGAAGAGCGUUAGAUAGUGAGGAAUGUAGAUAGAAACACAGAAAAAGGUCGUGGUAAAAAAUAAACAAUUCAUAAUGAGAACGCCACUUUAUAACGGAACAGACUAAAGGUACUCGACUUGAUUAAAAGGUAAAAGCAAUUUAGUCUCCCAUGGCAAGGUAUAAUGAUAAAUAAGGUAAUAGAUAAAAAGUCACACAGAUCAAGCAUGGAAGUGUAAUGUAUAAAGUGAAGUAGCGAGAAAGAAGGAUGAUAAAUUAAAGUUACACAGACCUGACCGCUGUAAUAUAUUCCUUUUUAUUUUUUCUUUAAUUAUGAUAUGGAACCGUAAUUAGUGGGGAGGAUUUAAGGUCAAUUAAUAGUUAGUCAGGCAGCUGGUGGUGGAGUGAACACUAAUUUACGUACUAGUGUUUUUCUUUUUGUUUAGUUUUUUUCCCAUGAUGGUUUUCAGGGAUCGGGGUUGAUGUGUCAAAUAAUUUCGUGCUGGUUUUGUUGUCUUUCUUUUUUCGUUAAUGUUUUUGUGCAGGUUUGACUUGGCUUUGUUUUAUUAUUUUCUUUUUUUGAAGCGAAUAAAGCACAGGGGUUGUUACAUGAAUAGGUUGAUGACUAGGUAUGUGUAUAGCUAGUGGAUGGAUGGAUCGCUAGAUUAAUAGAAUGCCAGAUAGACUGAUGAAUAAUUGAAUAUAGGCUAAGAUGGUUAGAUUGAUAGACGGAGAAGUAAGUAUGAAUGAUAUAGACUCUACCAAUAUAGCAUAGGUCUAUCAGUAAGUAUAGUUCAUGGUAGACGUGCAUAGUGUAUCAUAGCUUAUAAAUACAUGAGAAGUGGUUGUGUGUGUGUGUGUGUGUGUGUGUCAUAGGUGUAUGUAGGUGUGAUGAUUUCAUAUUGCAUUUUUCCCUCAUUUAAUGUUAAGUUGAAAUAUCACACUUGUGCUUGACUCGUUGUAAUGAAUGUAAGUGGUGGAAACACGGUAUUUAUUUACACGUUUUUACUCAUUAGUUUACGCAGUUUUAUCACGCUAAUAUGUCUUGUUUGAUACUGUCCUCAAGAAAAAUUUAAUAAAGUGAGUUACUAUUAAGAAUACUGAGUUGUAAGAAAAAAAACUCAGAAUUGUUAGUCUAUUUAUUGUGUAGACAUUUUCUUUUGUAUCAUUUUUUUUUUUUUUUCUAUUUACCCAUUUAUUCAUUUUUCCCAGUCAUUUUGUUAUCAUCAAAGAUCUAAGACUUUUUUCGUUAUUGAUAUUUAUUUUAUAUAUAUGUCAUCAGAUAAUUCCUUAUCAUUAUUUAUUCAUGCCCAAUGUUACCACCACCACCACAAUAUACACGGUCUCCUUUUCCUCCCACACAGAGCAGCGCAGCCCAGCUCAGCAUAGCUACACAGUCCCGUCCUCCAUUCCCUGAGACCCUUUCUUGUGAAGGCACAGGUUCACAGGCAAGGCGCUCAGGCAUGGAUGACGGGUUAGUACGUCCAGACGCUCCCGUGGAUGACAACCAGAAAGAGACAGGCAUAAGUUGUCUGGAAAUUUUAGACCACCACCACCACCACGUCAGCCUGUCCCCAAGUCCACCAGUUCAUCAUGCAAUGUCAACCAGCCCGUCUCAUGUCAAGAAAUGCCUAUACUUAAAAAAAAUCAAAUGUUAAAUUGUAUGGUUUUUGUAUAAUUAUUGUUAUUAUUAUUGUUGUUUCUUCAUUAAUUUAUUUAUAAGAGUUGUGAAUUCAUUUACCAUUAGAAUUAUUUGGCUUGUAUUCUUAUGGAACAUAUCAGUAUAAUAAAGUAGUGUAAGAAGAGGAGUCACUAGAUGUAAAGGAUGUGCUAGAGUAGGGAAUGGAGAAUACUACUAAUAAUAAUGAUGGUAAUGGUGAGUAAACAAAUGAUGCAUUAGCACACUGUUAAGUAUUACAUUUGUUACCAGUCACGUCUUGCUGAUGUACUAGUUCAAGAUACUGAAUAGCGACCGAAAAUAAUCCUGUGUGUGUCAUUGUUGUGAAGCGAAGUAACAAGUAGAGUUUGCUCGUAACUGAUCGUUUACUCGUUUUUUUUUUUUUUUUUUUUUUUUUUUUUGCCAGCCUUGUAUAUAAAUUAUUUAAUUCAUUUUCUUCGUUUUGUCUUUUUAUAUUUUAUUUAUUUAUUUAUUUUUUCUCACGUAGUCAUACAAACAUCCGUUAUAAUACAGUUUGUUACAGGCUUCCUUCGAAUGAAAUACGGUUUUGCCUCUUAUUUUUCGAUAUAUGAUGAAAAAGUAACUUUAAUUGAUAAAUGCUAAUAAACAAGAGAGCGAUGGUGGGGGUGAGGGUGACAGGGGGUAGGGAGUAGUUAGAAGGUAGACAUAGUCGCCUAAAACGGAAAAUAAAGCCCACUAAAUGAUACAUCGCAGCGAGUAACUAACGGUAAUAUUCUCACUAAACCCAAUUUUUUUUUUUCUAUGCCAUUCAUUUAAAUAUUUCAUAUAAACUGAUUUGUAGAAGCAGUGUUGGUAUUGAGGGUGGUAGGAAGUGACGUAUACUUGCUUGUUGCUGGAACCCAAGAUGGCGGUAUAGGCAGGACGCGGGCACGGUAGGGGACCGGGACAGUCGCAUCUCGAUAGUAGUGACCUUGUUGAUCUUGUGCGUAGUGCUUGUGAAUCCUGAGAGACAAUGAACACCAGGGAAGACGAUGCACAGGUGACACGACCUCGCAUGCGCCGAGAUUUGGGCACCCAUGCACCGACCAACCUGCAAGGAAGGAUGGAGAGCAGAUUGGACAGACUGUGGUGUCAUAGCAAAGAGUAACAACUGCUACACCACAGAGGAACAUGCACACUACUUCAGCAAAAGCCAGUGGGAAGGAGUGUCUGGGAACGAUGAUAUGGAGCCUUGUCCAAGGAUGACACGACACAUAUUGGCAGUCAGCUGGAUGCUCUGUGACGAUUCUUUGAGGAGUCCUCCAGAACCGGCAGAUAUUGAUCCUGGUUCUAACACUGUUGGGUCUAGUCACUCAGGUCUUCUGGAAACUGCAGUCUGAAGGAACUUAAAUCUGCCAUGACCACCUCAAUGCAAGCUUUUGACGGCAAGGACAGAAGUCCUCAGACUCUGACUGACCAUUGGAAUAAACUGCAUCACAAGGCAGCAUCUCAGGUGCUGGCUUUUACUGUUUGGCAAUGCAACAAGCUAGAUAGCAAUACUCCAAGUGUGUGUUUCCUCCAAGUACUUAGUCUGAAAUACCCACAUGUGAUCAGCUUUAAAAUACUGGACUGAAAAAUAUUACUUUGUGAAAAUAUGAAUUUCAUAUAAAAUUAUUGGUUAAAUGUAACUGAGUGCAGUUAAUGUCACCAAUAGUGUUGUAGAUGUGAUUCCUCUCAUAAACUCUGUAUCAUAACUUGUCCACAUUAUGUAUUCUUUAUGUUCUCUCCAUGUCUGACCUAUUUUUUUAUCAUUCCCAGAGGAGACCACCAAGGCAGAGAUAAUUUAUUCCUAUCCUUAUUUUGCCUCCUUGUAUUCACUAAUACUCUUUUCUCCACUCUGCUGUUCUCCUGCACAUCUCAGCACUACCCUCUCACUUCUCCACUCUGCUGUUCUCCUGCACAUCUCAGCACUACCCUCUCACACCCCUGGAACCUGUCCUCUUCCACCCAUCAUUGUCAUUCUUCUUUAUGUUCUCUUCUUGCCAUUCUUUUUGUGUCUAACCCACCUUGGCAUGAUGCUGUGCUUAACCCACUCAAAAAUCCCAUAUUUCAUCCUUGUAUCUUUACUUUGCAAUUCACAGACACAGCUAUAAUUACUUUUACCAUCACAUAUACUAUUUUGUAUGUACUACAUGUGUGCUUAAGCUGUUUUUAGUUACCCUACUUAAUUAUGAAAUUAAUAAUUUUUACCUAGAAAAGGGAAGAUCAUUUAAAAAAGUUGAUUUGUUGAAGUAACAUCAUUUAAAUGGUCUAGAUGCAUAUCUGCAACCAUUUAAAUCUUAUUGUGCACUAUGAUUGUUGGCCAAAUGAGAUGAGUCUUUCCAAGCGUCAGUUACUCUUCUGGUGCCCCCAGAUGGAUAGGUCUUCUCUGACAAGUAGAGGUACUUAAUUUUUUAUGAUAUAUUCUUUGUUGUGGCAAGGAUACUAAUUUCCUUUGUGAAGGCUACUUGAUUAUCAAAGAAGCCUCAUUCCUGCCAGAUCUUAACUCCCUUUGUCCUACAGUGUGCAGCUGUUGUAUUCUUGAUAAUUUGUGAGGAUUUAGUGAGUUCAGGAUAACUGUACAACAAUUUCAUAUCCAACACCAGGCAUGGACUUAACCUUUGCAUUCCAGCAGAUGCGUGCAGGAUGUCUCACAGUGAUCACUGUGCUCCCAUCUCAGUACACUCAAUCCUCUGCCAUUGCAGCUCAUUGCUCAUGUUACUGAUAUGAAUCCUAAUUAUGCACUAGCAUACCCCUAGAUUCUUUUUUUUUUUUUAUUCAAACAUUUUGGCACUAACAGUAUAUGAUGAUGCCUAAUACCAUGACACUCUUGCAGCAGAUAGGUUCUAAUGAUAUGAAAUGAGAUGAGGAAAAUGUAGAUGAUAAAAGAUCAUGAAACAAUACCUGACGUAAUGUGUGCACUUAAGGCUUUCAGCUGAAGUAAUUUUAGCACCAAUAAAUUUGACUUAGUUUGCAGUCACUGCAAUAUCAGUGAAACACAUGAUGCAUUCUGCAGCAGCAGAUGGUUGAGUGUAAGCUUUAGGCUCAAAGUAACUCAAGUUCUGCCAGAAUUUGGGCCACUCUGCCACCUAAAUUACUGUUACUCGGGCCUAAGAAUAGUGAUGAUUGUGACACGUCAGGCAUGUAUCAACUACAAGGUAAGGGUUAAGAGGCAAUACCUUCCUCCACUGUUUUAACAUGCAGUCUUGAAAACAUUGACCAUUUAAAAAAAAAGUAAGCAAAAAAGCUUUAGACAUUUUCAAAGUUGAUCAAAUUGAGUAUUUCAGAUACAACCUAUUACAUCCUAAAUAUAUUCCCCAGCAGACUACUGCACAUCAACCCAGUGAGAGAAGCACAAGGCCACUGUCCUACCUCUAGGUGAGGCUGGUGCUCCGGGCCGGCUCUCCCUCGGCCAGCGGCAUCAGUUUCUCCUCAAUGGACGAGACCGGGGACGAGUUGCCGGAGCGGUUGUUCUCCAUGGAGCAGUCGCUGACUUCCUCAGAGGAGUCAUUGUAGUCAACGGAAGCAGCCCUCUUAUUAACAAAGGACUCUUCCAGCCUGAUGAAACAAAGGUCUCCCGUCAGUUUUACAGAGUGCAUGAGUGAUGAAAAAAACAUAUCCUUCAUUUUAAAGGGCACAGUUAUUUACUUUCAUUCAGAGGAAGAGAGAUUUUCUACAUUAAUAUAGUCUUUGAUCAGACCAACAGCCAAAGAAGGCUGGCAAAGAUGUCAGGUGGGUGCCCACCUCAGAUGUGUUGUUAUCUUUUUGCUGUUGGUCUAAUAAAAGAUUGAUAUACAAAACUCCCUCUUGUUACAACCCACACAAACCAAGAGCACAAGCCAGUCCUGUAUACAAUAAUCUUAUAAAAAAGAGUUUUCAAGUUGGUGUAUCAUCUUCAGAACAUUCUGUAGAGACAGUCCUGGCAUGGCAGAGGAAGUUUUAUGAGGAAGAUAAUCAUUAGACAUUACAAGACAAAAUGCAACUUACGGCACUCCCUUGACUCUCAUAGCACCUGUGAGAGCCAUCUGCUUCACAUGUUGCAUCAAUAACUGCAUCUGCUCUAAUGACACUCUCAGAACACCUGUGGAGAAGAAAUAUGGAAGUUACCUGUCUGUUGAGUGGAUCAUGAAAACAAUCUAGAAAGAUAAUGCCUGUGGAACAUAACAUUGAAAUAACUGGGAGAGGACAACAGCAGAGGACUCACUGUCUGUAAUAUCUCCAAGUCUUUUGGCGACCAUGUAGAGCACCUCAGGGCACCAGAAGUGGGGGAUGCGGGGGUACAACUUUCCAGUGUCUGAGGGCAGGUGGAAACCUAGCUCGGCCAGCAGCUGACGGAAGGUGGGUGAGGAGAACGCCUCCUCCUGCUCACUGGUCCAAGGAAUGAGUGGGAUGGACUGGUUGGACACUGGUGGAAUGGAAGUGUGUGUUACUAUUGUACAAAGGAAGCAUUUGUUGCUAUGUGUGUGAGAAUGGACCACAUGUUACAGUGUGAGGGAAGGAAGCAUUUGUUAUUACGUGUGCAUUUUUUCAUGCCUUUAGUCUCAGUACUGCCACACCUAUACAUCACUAAACAUUAAAACUCUUUUAAUUUGAAAAGCCACAAAGUAAUUCAUGUAAAGGCAUCACCAAAUUUUAGUUCUUAGUAAGACAUUGAAGUCGGUAAUGCUCAGCUAAGCAAGUUUUGGCUGAUCCUUACUGUUCCUAUCACUACACAGCAAUUAUGGAUAAAUAUUACUGAAAUGUUCCUUUUUCUAAUCCCACAAUGAAGAGUUACUUACAUGUAAAAUGGAAGGCAACAGGCUCUGGUCUGGGGAGGUCAGUGCCCAUGAACCUGAUCUUGGCAUAGCAGGCCUCAAGAAUCUGCUUCUGAAGCCACACAACCUGACUCCCAUGGCCUUCCUCUCUCAGCUUGUC